This 495-nucleotide ribosomal RNA is filed under the name uncultured bacterium. Its description in RNAcentral is "partial 16S ribosomal RNA". It matches the Rfam family "Bacterial small subunit ribosomal RNA", at positions 28 to 507 of the family's 1533-position model. The record is from RNAcentral.
GACGAACGCUGGCGGCGUGCCUAAUACAUGCAAGUCGAACGCUGAAGGAGGAGCUUGCUUCUCUGGAUGAGUUGCGAACGGGUGAGUAACGCGUAGGUAACCUGCCUGGUAGCGGGGGAUAACUAUUGGAAACGAUAGCUAAUACCGCAUAAUAGUAGAUGUUGCAUGACAUUUGCUUAAAAGGUGCAAUUGCAUCACUACCAGAUGGACCUGCGUUGUAUUAGCUAGUUGGUGGGGUAACGGCUCACCAAGGCGACGAUACAUAGCCGACCUGAGAGGGUGAUCGGCCACACUGGGACUGAGACACGGCCCAGACUCCUACGGGAGGCAGCAGUAGGGAAUCUUCGGCAAUGGACGGAAGUCUGACCGAGCAACGCCGCGGGAGUGAAGAAGGUUUUCGGAUCGUAAAGCUCUGUUGUAAGAGAAGAACGAGUGUGAGAGUGGAAAGUUCACACUGUGACGGUAUCUUACCAGAAAGAGACGGCUAACUACGUG